UUGUGCGUUAAUUGACUUGUCUUGUUUUCAUUUUUGCUGUCUUCCCCUUUGUUAGAACUUUAAUAAGUGUCUCAAAAAACAGUUUUUAUCAAAACUGCAGAUCAUUGUGGAAUAAUCUCAGUUCUUUGGCGCAAUCAUCAUGCCUAUUACCGUAAUGGGGUGUUAAAUGAGGAUGGGGAUGGAGUGUACUCUGUGGAGGCGUCUAAAAACGAGUAUCUAGUGAAAUGUUCUGUUGUCAUUGAUGAAGAAUCUUUGAAGACGCUAUACGGCGAAUUAUGGCCAGAUUUAACGACACUGGUAGCAUUUCUAAGUGAAAACCGACGGGGAGGCCUCAAGUUAGUGAAGACGUUGUUGAAGAUUUAAGGAUGAGAAUGGAACAAAGUCCGAAUAAAGCUUUGUCAAAAAUCUUUACUGUCCGGAGUACCAUACAGCCCAUGUCAGAAAAUCGUAAAAGAGAAGUUACAUAUGCAUCCAUACAAGAUUUUGUUGGUUCAGGAGCUGCAACCAGCUGAUUUUCCUUGCCGCGUUGGGUAUUGUAGUUGGUUUCAAGCUGAUAUGGAUGAUAACGGGAUUCUCGAUUUGUCGUUCUUUUCUGAUGAAGCCUGGUUUCAUCUGUUAGGCUAUUAUGUCAACUGACAGAACUUCAGAAUUUGGUGUAUAGAAAAUACUCACGCUUUUGAAGAAACACCAUCACACGCAAUGAAGGUUGGUGUGUGGUUAGCUGUUUCCAGACGACGAUUCAUAGGCCUGAUACUUUUUCAAGUAAAUGAAUGUGAUCAAUAAACAAAAUUAGAUGUAGAAAGUGUAUGUAGGUACUGCAAUAAAGUUUUUUAUUUUCAGUAA
Molecule: long non-coding RNA, 843 nt
Organism: Zophobas morio
Lineage: Eukaryota; Metazoa; Arthropoda; Insecta; Coleoptera; Tenebrionidae
Exons: 2
Source: RefSeq, a predicted model, not a curated record